Molecule: transfer RNA, 77 nt
Filed under: Alkaliphilus sp. B6464
Lineage: Bacteria; Bacillati; Bacillota; Clostridia; Peptostreptococcales; Natronincolaceae
Description: tRNA-Pro
Rfam family: tRNA
About the family: Transfer RNA (tRNA) molecules are approximately 80 nucleotides in length.
Source: RNAcentral
CAGAGUGUGGCCAAGUUUGGUAAGGCACAUGGUUUGGGACCAUGAAAUCGUAGGUUCAAAUCCUACCACUCUGACCA